GGGGCAUAGCUCAGCUGGGAGAGCGUCAGGUUCGCAAUCUGAAGGUCAGGGGUUCGAUCCCCCCUGCCUCC
This 71-nucleotide transfer RNA is filed under the name bovine gut metagenome. It matches the Rfam family "tRNA". From Rfam's summary of the family: Transfer RNA (tRNA) molecules are approximately 80 nucleotides in length. Their secondary structure includes four short double-helical elements and three loops (D, anti-codon, and T loops). The record is from RNAcentral.